GGUGGGGUGUCCGAGUGGUUUAAGGAGCACGCUUGGAAAGUGUGUGGUCGCAAGGCCUCGCAGGUUCGAAUCCUGUCCCCACCG
This 84-nucleotide transfer RNA is filed under the name bacterium. RNAcentral's name for it is "tRNA-Ser". It matches the Rfam family "tRNA". From Rfam's summary of the family: Transfer RNA (tRNA) molecules are approximately 80 nucleotides in length. Their secondary structure includes four short double-helical elements and three loops (D, anti-codon, and T loops). The record is from RNAcentral.